AUUGAACGCUGGCGGCAUGCCUUACACAUGCAAGUCGAACGGCAGCACGGGUGCCUGCACCUGGUGCGACGUGGCGGAACGGGUGAGUAAUACAUCGGAAUGUACCUUGUAGUGGGGGAUAGCUCGGCGAAAGCCGGAUUAAUACCGCAUACGCUCUGAGGAGGAAAGCGGGGGACCUUCGGGCCCCGUGCUACAAGAGCAGCCGAUGUCAGAUUAGCUUGUUGGUGAGGUAAAAGCUCACCAAGGCGACGAUCUGUAGCUGGUCUGAGAGGACGACCAGCCACACUGGGACUGAGACACGGCCCAGACUCCUACGGGAGGCAGCAGUGGGGAAUUUUGGACAAUGGGCGAAAGCCUGAUCCAGCAAUGCCG
This 372-nucleotide ribosomal RNA is filed under the name uncultured Pandoraea sp. Its description in RNAcentral is "bacterial SSU rRNA". It matches the Rfam family "Bacterial small subunit ribosomal RNA", at positions 30 to 399 of the family's 1533-position model. The record is from RNAcentral. Lineage: Bacteria; Pseudomonadati; Pseudomonadota; Betaproteobacteria; Burkholderiales; Burkholderiaceae.